GCACAGAUUAUUCACCGGUAUGAAUGUUGAAGAGAGGUAAAGAGAAUAUUGUUCGGCCCACCAUGUGCGAGUGGGAGAUGAAGGCUUUAUUUAAUUUGGGCUUAAGGCCCGUCCGCCCAAGUUGGGCCAAGAGAGCCCGGCCCACGGGAAUAUGGCCCAUGGAUGGGGGGAGGUAUAAAAGGGAGAGAGAGAGAGAGAGAGAGAGAGAGAGAAGACGUCUGUUGGAAUUAGAAAUUACGCACGUCUUUUCUCUCCCGUGCGUUUUCU
This 267-nucleotide long non-coding RNA is filed under the name Eucalyptus grandis. RNAcentral's name for it is "long non-coding RNA (EGRA_LNC001036)". The record is from RNAcentral. Lineage: Eukaryota; Viridiplantae; Streptophyta; Magnoliopsida; Myrtales; Myrtaceae.